CGCAAGCCUGACGGAGCAAUACCGCGUGAGGGAGGACGCUUUUUGGAUUGUAAACCUCUUUUAUCAGGGAAGAAUUAAUGACGGUACCUAAUGAAUCAGCAUCGGCUAACUCCGUGCCAGCAGCCGCGGUAAUACGGAGGAUGCAAGCGUUAUCCGGAAUUAUUGGGCGUAAAGCGUCCGUAGGUGGCUUGAUAAGUCUGCUGUCAAAGCGUGCGGCUUAACCGCAUAAGGGCAGUGGAAACUAUUGAGCUAGAGUGCGAUAGGGGUAACAGGAAUUCCCAGUGUAGCGGUGAAAUGCGUAGAUAUUGGGAAGAACACCAGCGGCGAAAGCGUGUCACUGGGUCUGCACUGACACUGAGGGACGAAAGCUAG
RNAcentral lists this ribosomal RNA (372 nucleotides) under uncultured Leptolyngbya sp. RNAcentral's name for it is "bacterial SSU rRNA". It matches the Rfam family "Bacterial small subunit ribosomal RNA", at positions 376 to 763 of the family's 1533-position model. The record is from RNAcentral. Lineage: Bacteria; Bacillati; Cyanobacteriota; Cyanophyceae; Leptolyngbyales; Leptolyngbyaceae.